Molecule: long non-coding RNA, 440 nt
Filed under: Setaria viridis
Lineage: Eukaryota; Viridiplantae; Streptophyta; Magnoliopsida; Poales; Poaceae
Description: long non-coding RNA (SVIR_LNC009898)
Source: RNAcentral
UCGACGCCUUGCACCCGUGCCUCCCACCGGCCGUCGUGCCUUGCCUCCGCGCCGCCAUGCCCGCCGCCGCCACCACCACCACACCCGCCGGCCACCACCUCCACCACACCCUGGCCUCGACGUCGACGGAUCCGGGGUAGAGGGGGGAGUCCCCCUCGGAUCCGGGGAGAGGGGCGGGGCGGCGGCCGGAGAGAGGCCGCCGCGCGAGAGAGGGGAAGAGCGGAGGAGUGGAGGGAGUUACCUGGAGAGGGAGGCGAGGGAUCCGGCGCCACCACCACGAAGUCCGCGCUCACCGGAUCCGGGGAGGAGGGGCUGUGCGGUGGCCGGAUCCGGCCGGAUCCGGAGAAGAUGGGCGGGGCGGUGGCUGGAGAAAGGGAGAGGAGGGGCCGGGGCGGCAGCCGGAGAGGGAGGAGAGGCCGGCCGCGCUAGGCGAGGGAGAG